AGGCAGCAGUGGGGAAUAUUGCACAAUGGGGGAAACCCUGAUGCAGCGACGCCGCGUGAGCGAAGAAGUACUUCGGUAUGUAAAGCUCUGUCAGCAGGGAAGAUAAUGACGGUACCUGACCAAGAAGCCCCGGCUAACUACGUGCC
Molecule: ribosomal RNA, 146 nt
Filed under: uncultured bacterium
Lineage: Bacteria
Description: partial 16S ribosomal RNA
Rfam family: Bacterial small subunit ribosomal RNA
Source: RNAcentral